Molecule: small nuclear RNA, 148 nt
Organism: Pongo abelii (Sumatran orangutan)
Lineage: Eukaryota; Metazoa; Chordata; Mammalia; Primates; Hominidae
Gene: U2
Rfam family: U2 spliceosomal RNA
About the family: U2 is a small nuclear RNA (snRNA) component of the spliceosome (involved in pre-mRNA splicing). Complementary binding between U2 snRNA (in an area lying towards the 5' end but 3' to hairpin I) and the branchpoint sequence (BPS) of the intron results the bulging out of an unpaired adenosine, on the BPS, which initiates a nucleophilic attack at the intronic 5' splice site, thus starting the first of two transesterification reactions that mediate splicing.
Source: Ensembl
AUGGCUUCUCGGCCUUUUGGCUAAGAUCAAGUGUAGUAACUUUUUAGCUUGAGUUAUUGUCUUCUUGUAAUUCAUUUGUAUCCUGGAUAAUAGUCCUUUGUAAGAUACAUAUUGCAAACAUUUUCUCCUAGUUUGAGAUUUACCCUUU